UUGUGCCGGUCCCAAGCCCGGAUAAAUGGGGAGGGUAACAUCAGGAAGGACAUCCAGUGUAAAAUUUUACCAAAUAAAUAAGCGGACAACAAUAAAAUAUUCUAUACCAGAUUGGUUGAGUUUCGGGUUAACAACAACCACCACCAGUACUGUUAACCAACAUGGUGCUGAUGGAAGUUAGGCUACUGUUUGCCGAAGAAGGAGAAAAAGAGGGAGAAGACAUGUCCCGAGGCAGAAGGAGAGGAGGAAGCCUUAGUGGCACCUGAAAUUAUUCUCCUAUUUUCACUGGUUCCCAAGUGUAUAAAGGUCAUAAACCAUUGGUCUAAACAGCACCUCUAUGAACAGAGAUGCAGUGAUGAACAGACAGACGAGGUGGGCUAAAAAGAAGGUCUGUCUUUGCCAAAUUGAGCUGGAGAUGGCAUUCCUUAAUCAAGGUAACAAUAUCAGUGAGACGUGCAGAAAUUAUAGCUGAUACAGUGUGUUCCUCAAGACAGAAUGACAUGUAGAGCUGUGGAUCAUCAGCACAGCACUGAUAAGAGAAACCAUUGGACUGGAUGACACUGGGAUGAACAGCAAUAAUUAACAUUCCUUUUUUUAAUAUGGGACAGUAAAUAAUAGCCUACGUAUGGCAAACAAGAAUUAUAUUGGAUUAAAUUAGAUUAGAGAUGUUUAUUGUCACAUACACUGCAAAGGCAAACUAAAAUUGUUGAUCCACAGUUGUGGCGCAUGGGAGGGGGAUGGGAUGCAGAAAAGUAUGUACAGACAAUAAGAUAAAUAAAUAAAUAAGAAUAGGAGAAUUACAGUAAAUAAAGAGUAGCAGAAGAAUGGUGUUACAUACCUAGAGGAAAAAAUGUGUAUUAAACAGUUUGGAGAAAAGAAAAUAUAAAGUAGAUGGCAGCCCACUAGUAAUGUACAGUACAAUUAUACAUUGACAUGUAAGAUCAGGAUUCUGUGAGGACAGCGACGUUAUAGCCUGGAGAAGAAGCUGUCCCUGAAACAAAUGGAGCGAGUUGUGAGGCUCUGGUUGCAUUUACCAAAAGGCAGAAGUGAAAACAGGGUAGCUGGAUGGCUUUCAUCACAUAUGAUGGAUUCAGUUUUCCUCAAACAUUCGGUGGAGUAGAUUGUAUGAAGCUGUGGAACCUCAAUCAUAAUAAAAUCUGCAAGUACAGUCCUUUGUAGGAAUAUCUGAUGCUGGUAAGUCUGAUUACUAAACCACACCGUAAUGCAUCCGGUCAGGAUGCAUUCAAUAGUGAAACAGUACAGGUUCACUAGUAUUGUGCAUCCCACCCCAAAACUCCUUAGCCUCCCCAGGAAAAAGUGCCUAUUUUGAGCCUUUUUGAUGAUGCAGGUGGUGUUGACACACAACAAGAGGCGGUCGGUUAUGUGGACACCUAGGAACCAUGAAUCUGCUAACUGUACGGAGCUGAGUGUGAUUGCCUUUGUUCUUUCUGAAGUCAACACUGACUUUGCUUUGUUGAUAUUCAGGAAGAGGUUGUUGUUUAGGCACCUUACAUUCAGGUCUGUUACCUCUCUCGUGUAUGUCGUCUCAUCAUUAUCUCUAAUAAGGCCAAUCACAAAGGUGUCAUUAGUGACCUUGAUGACUGUGUUGCCUAUUUCUACAUUCUGUAGUGAUGUGAAUCAACUUCAUAGUCAUCAAAGACAAAGCCACAGAUGGAUCUGCUCAGACCACGGUCUCUGAACGUCAUCUCCAGACUGGAGGGCAGAAUGAUAUUAACGGCAAUGCUAUAGAUGAUGAACAGCAUCCUGACACACUGUAGGUGUUUUCCCUUCCCAGAUGGCCCAUCAUCCACAGAUCUGUUAUGCUGGUAGAUAAACUGUAGUAGAUCCAGGGUAGCAGGGAUCUUAUGGUUAAUAUAAAUUAUGACCAGUUUCUCCACACUAUUCAUCAUCACAAACAUGAAUGCAUUGGAUCAAUAGUCAUUCAGACAGGAAACAUCCAUUUUUUGGCACAGGUACGAUUUUGAUUUUCAUGAAACACUGCAGCUCCACACAUAAAGACAGGGACAAGUUGGAGGUGUCAGAGUACACCCAUGUCAGCUGCCUUUCUCUGUCUCUUACGAAGAAAAGGUGGUGCACACUUAUGAUCGGAAAUGAUCAGAUGUUAACAGGAGAAAGCAGCAAUUACAGCAAUGAGGGGAAAGGGGCAGGGGUCUCAAAUAAAUUAACGUAUUUAAAUGAGCUUCAAUAAGUCAAUUAUUCACCAAAACUAGAUUUCUAAAAUGUCAUGUAAACCUUUAUUCUAAAUUAAAGAAAUCCGGUUAUUGGCCUCUCAGAAACCUAAUUAACAGAGAAGGAUUUCUCCAUGAAUAACCCAGUAACAGGUGCUACAUGUACCAUUGGCCCAUUGCUAGUUUUACUUUCUUUCAUGUAUUCCAUAGGAAAGAGGUUGCUGUGGGUUCACUGGAAAAUGGAGACUGCGCCUUUAAAGAGAAGACACAGCAUGGACAGGACAACUAACCUAAAGUGGAUUAAAUCUGGAAAGGAAGAAAGAGAGAGAAGGACAUCGAGCAGUGAAGUGAGGAUCAACAGCAUGUUAGCACCAAGAAUCCACUACGGGUGCAACCUGCUAGAGGAAGGUUUCUUUUUUUCCCAAGGUUACAACUGAGAUGUGUCUCUGAAGACAAACGUUUUGUCAUUGAUCUUGAGCGAUCAACCUAUGAACUGAUAGGGCAGAACGUUUAUACUAUUGGCAUCAGGUGGCUCUUUACUCUGUUGUUCUUCUGGCAUUUCAUUGUCAUCUUGAACUUUAAGGACAGUAAACCAAAUUUUAAUAUAUUGGGAUAAACGGGUUAUCUUUAGCAAAGGCAUCUUUUUUGUUUUACUUGCAUAAUGUACUUGUUUUUUUGGAAGUUAUGUUUAAAAUAUUCCUCUUGACUGGUAAUGUGUAAAUAUAUUUUUUUUUUCAUUGCUUUAAUACUUUCCAUUGAAUGCUGAUCUGGUAUGUGUGGUGAAUAAGCUAAACAGAACAUGUGUUGGUUAUGGAACUAUGGAAAAGAUUUCCGUGAAGUAAAUUAAGUACUAUUGCUAUUACUAUAGCGGUGUUCUGAUCGUGCAGCUGCUCUGGACUGGCUGUUCUCCAUAAUCAGAACAUCCUGAUUAUGUGGCCAUGUAAACCUUUAACUGGGUUACUGUUCAUGAUUUUGUAAUCUGUGCAUGUCCGUUGUAUUCUUUCAGCCUACGCAUGUAUUUGCUUCACCCACAUUUUCAGCAACCACAGUUAAAGUGUCCAUAAAAUAACUUUUCAGA
Molecule: long non-coding RNA, 3267 nt
Organism: Polypterus senegalus (gray bichir)
Lineage: Eukaryota; Metazoa; Chordata; Cladistia; Polypteriformes; Polypteridae
Exons: 2
Source: RefSeq, a predicted model, not a curated record